UACAGAGGUCCCGAGCGUUGUUCGGAUUCAUUGGGCGUAAAGGGUGCGUAGGCGGCUUCCUAAGUUUGAUGUGAAAUCCUGGGGCUCAACCCUGGAACUGCAUUGAAUACUGGGAGGCUAGAGUACUGGAGAGGAAACUGGAAUUUACGGUGUAGCAGUGAAAUGCGUAGAGAUCGUAAGGAAGACCAGUGGCGAAGGCGAGUUUCUGGACAG
This 213-nucleotide ribosomal RNA is filed under the name uncultured bacterium. RNAcentral's name for it is "partial 16S ribosomal RNA". It matches the Rfam family "Bacterial small subunit ribosomal RNA", at positions 524 to 736 of the family's 1533-position model. The record is from RNAcentral.